CCCAUCAAACUAAUGUGACAGCUCAUUUACAUAUUUCUCCUGUGCAGCGCCCUCGCUUGACCCUUAAGGUAAAGCUCUCACUUAGCCAAUUGUCUUGAGUGAGUCAUUCCACCACUAGCACUGGUACUGUAAACACCACACAGUGUCCUGCCACUUCUACACAUGUUCUUAGUUAAUGCCUCAAGAUUUUGUGGAUGACUCGACUGGGGGUUUGUUUUGUUUGUGUAAGAUGCAGUUCACCAUUAAAUGAACCAGACACAGUAAAUGUA
RNAcentral lists this long non-coding RNA (269 nucleotides) under Patiria miniata (bat star). Its description in RNAcentral is "uncharacterized LOC119739504". Lineage: Eukaryota; Metazoa; Echinodermata; Asteroidea; Valvatida; Asterinidae. The record is from RNAcentral.